Molecule: ribosomal RNA, 492 nt
Filed under: uncultured bacterium
Lineage: Bacteria
Description: partial 16S ribosomal RNA
Rfam family: Bacterial small subunit ribosomal RNA
Source: RNAcentral
AGUGAACGCUGGCGGUAGGCCUAACACAUGCAAGUCGAACGGCAGCACAGUAAGAGCUUGCUCUUACGGGUGGCGAGUGGCGGACGGGUGAGGAAUACAUCGGAAUCUACUUUUUCGUGGGGGAUAACGUAGGGAAACUUACGCUAAUACCGCAUACGACCUACGGGUGAAAGCAGGGGAUCUUCGGACCUUGCGCGAUUGAAUGAGCCGAUGUCGGAUUAGCUAGUUGGCGGGGUAAAGGCCCACCAAGGCGACGAUCCGUAGCUGGUCUGAGAGGAUGAUCAGCCACACUGGAACUGAGACACGGUCCAGACUCCUACGGGAGGCAGCAGUGGGGAAUAUUGGACAAUGGGCGCAAGCCUGAUCCAGCCAUACCGCGUGGGUGACGAAGGCCUUCGGGUUGUAAAGCCCUUUUGUUGGGAAAGAAAAGCAGCAGGUUAAUACCCCGCUGUUCUGACGGUACCCAAAGAAUAAGCACCGGUUAACUUCGUG